CGCUUUUGUACAUGUUAUAUAUACUCACUUUUAACUUACCUGUUUUGUAUAGUGUUUGUUUAUAUGUACAUAUUUCAGAGUCUAUGAUACUGUAAUAGUAUAUUUUAUUUAUAUUUGACAAUUUUAUGCAAUAUUUCCUCAUGUGUGCCAAGCUGAUAUAAAAAUAUAUGAUAGACUGUCGUAAACUGUGGAUAUCAAUUUUGGUGAAUUGAGAAAAAACUUGCAUUUUGAUGGAUAUUUAAUUCAAAGAUUAAUAAUGAAUCCACAGUAUAUAAAUUGUAAUUGUUACAAUAAACACCACUGCUUUUUUAUGAUAUAAACAAAAGUGCUUUUUGUUGAGCCCUAUGCACUAUAUGUGAAAUUUUCUUUUGCUGGGAAUUUUUUUUUGAGCAAAUCCAUGUACCUGUAUUACUUAGCAUUCACAUUUAAAGAACUAAAACAUCCUUUCUCAAUACUUUUUGUCAGGUUUCCCAUGCCAGUGGGACAGUUGCAUGAUAUUUUUUUCAAAAAUAAUUGGCAGGCCUAAGAAUUUUAAACCCAAGCCACCAUUUUUCUGUUACAAAUUAAGAUUUGACUAUAUCAUGUAUAUCGAGCAUCUCUUUCUUCCAAAACUUUAUUUCAGUUGAACAAUGUGAUUAGGACUUUUAUGUCUGAAACUUUAUGACAAUCAUAAAAAAAAAUGUAUUCUUUACCUUUUUCCCCAAUAAGUAUAUUCUUGCUAACGGUUUGUGUCUGAUGAUUUGAAACAUUUAUAUAUUUUUACUCCUAUGUGUACUCAUUGUCCACCUUUUGACAUUGUUGGCUUAAAAAAACAACCACUAUUUUCUACUGAAUUUUGAAACAAUGAAAAACAUUUAUUUUUAAAAGAUUUAAAUUUUAACUAAUCAUGAGAUAUAAGUUGAACUGCUUCGUUCAGGAAUUGUUCUUGUUCAUGUUGUUUCAAACACAGGAUUGUUUUUUUCUGGUAACUUCAAUCAAAAAUGUUUGUAACAAAUAACCACUUAUAGAAUCAUGUUUUAUUUCCCCUUUUUAACAAUAUUUUAUAUUUUAUUG
This 1053-nucleotide long non-coding RNA is filed under the name Mytilus galloprovincialis (Mediterranean mussel). The record is from RNAcentral. Lineage: Eukaryota; Metazoa; Mollusca; Bivalvia; Mytilida; Mytilidae.